UCACGGUUUACACCGGCAGUUUCAUUAGAGUCCCCGGCAUGACCCGUUGGCAACUAAUGAUAAGGGUUGCGCUCGUUAUGGAACUUAAUCCGACACCUCACGGCACGAGCUGACGACAACCAUGCAGCACCUCGUAGACAGUCCCGAAGGAAAGACACAUUUCUGCGCCAGUCUAUCUACGUUCAAACCCAGGUAAGGUUCCUCGCGUAUCAUCGAAUUAAACCACAUGUUCCUCCGCUUGUGCGGGCCCCCGUCAAUUCCUUUGAGUUUCAUCGUUGCCGACGUACUCCCCAGGUGGAUUACUUAAUGCUUUCGCUUAGACGCGUACGAUAUAUUGCACACAUCGAGUAAUCAUCGUUUACGGCGUGGACUAC
RNAcentral lists this unclassified non-coding RNA (374 nucleotides) under uncultured Bacteroidales bacterium. RNAcentral's name for it is "contains 16S-23S intergenic spacer region". The record is from RNAcentral. Lineage: Bacteria; Pseudomonadati; Bacteroidota; Bacteroidia; Bacteroidales.